ACGAACGACUAUUUAAGUUGAUCACAAAUUACAGUGCCAAUCAUAGUAUAGCGGAGCACGUGACGAUCGUAGAUCGUAGCCACGCCUUGUUCGCAUUUAUCUUUCGUGUUUCUUUCUCGCGGGGAACGCCAAUACUUCCGGCGAUUGCUUUACGGAAGACAGAUACAUACAUAGUACGCGAGUGCCAGCCAGCCGUACAAUUAAAUUUUACGUGAAUCGGCCAACCACGCGGAGUAUAUACGCUACUAUGCUAACAGGUGUGAUACGCUUGAAACUGUUAGAUACUAUUAUUAUAUCGUACGAACUAAUAUGGAGCCACGUGUUCCAAUUUUUAUUGAAUAUGGAAAUUCUCGAUAAGAAUACCGACUGAGUGUCAAUAGACUGAUAAAAGUGUCUGAUAAUAGCACCGAUUAUCGUUCGCGAUGAAUGCCACUCAUUCUCCGAUGUACCGGUCGACCAACGAAUCGCGUGUUACUUGAUAUAACAACAAAUUGAUAUAUGAAUUUUUAUGAGUACGUCGGUCUUUUCUGAAUGGUUUUUCUUUGUGUUCAUACUGAAUCUUUCGAACUAAUCGUGUUUUAAAUUCAAGCGAUUUUAAUUAACUGAACUUAUAUAACCAUAAGCUUGAAGUUAUUUAAGUUGACCAAACACUUUCGAUUCGAAUAACUCGACUAAUUUGAGCUAAAUUUCGUGUACUUUCUAAACCUGAACUACCUAAUCCUUUUACACAAUUACAAAGUAGAUCAUUCUUCUUAUAUUUACAUUUCCUUAACAAACAUUUUAUUUUGAACAAGCUGUACAAAACGCAAUGCGUCUCGUUUUGAUAAUGUUUUGCAAAGUAUGUAACUAAAAAUAUGUGGAUUUGCUAUCAAUUUGAGAAUUGGAAUAGUCACGACAUUUGAACGGGAUUUGUGUCAUAGUUCACGUGCACGCAACUCCGUGUGUAUGGGAGAAAGCCACAUUAUACGGUGUAUUUCACCGGUGUGUAAGCUCGGUUCCCCCAAGUUCAUUGUAACUUUGGUCGUGUCGUGUAUCACCUCCUAUCAACGUCACACCUCCCUACACGCAUCGCUCGUGAAUAUACUUCCUUGCUCUGGUUAACGGGUAUGCAUCGUUUGAGGCAAUAAUCCUAAAUACACGCUGGAAUCUAUACUUACAUUGGUUAAUCUACGUGUUAGCUAGUCUCCGCUACUAUGUAUAAUUUGAACCGAUUAGAAUGAUUGAAAUAUUCCUUUGAUUUCAUGUUGUCACAUAAAAUGGAAUAAUCUGUACAACACGUACGAAGAAAAUUUUAUAACGCGAAGAAUAGUUGUCGUUGCAGAAAGUUUUAAGAACGUAUGCAUAUAUGUAAUGUAUGUGGAUUGAAAUGCAGAAAAGAAAGCUCUGAUCGAUCAUUGGCAAGAGCUAGAAACGCAACCGGGCUAAUGGAUGUUUCGAAAAGCUGGCAUUUCUGUGACAAAGUGCAUAAUUGACCUAAUUGAUCGUAACAAGCGUUCGCCGGCAAAAUGACGAAAUCCCAAAGGUCUCGUAGAAGAUUCCAAAGACUAUAGAUUUUCGAUAAAAAGAACCAGCAGAUAAUUCAAAAAUUUAUCAAGUUCGACAAAUCACUGGAAAUUUCCUUGUUUGAUUGAAUCUACAGUACAAAGUAAGAGAGAGAAAGAGAGAGUGUGCAUGGCAAAGUACCAAGCGUGUGGCACACUUCGGGAAAGCACUUUAGCCUCAGGGUCGCGCAUGAAAGCGGGAAUGAUACGAUAAUGGAAAUAAAUUGCACGGUGUUAUUUAAAAUUUGUCAAUUAUUCUCGGUUUGGUGACAGCGUAAUUUUCUUAAUUUUCGCUCAACACCGAUUUCCAACGGAUUCUGCGCGUCUCGUAUCACGACUCACAAAAGAAUGGAUGAUACAUAGUCUUUCUGACGAAAUACGACACAUCGCACACAAAGAAUGUAUUCAAUCUUGACUCUAUCGAUUCCAUUUGUCUGUCAGAAUUUUUAGGUUACUUUAAUCGAAUAGUUUUUGGUAAACAGCGAUAUAUCAUUAUACAACCUAACAAAUUUUGUUACAAAUUUAGCACUAAAUGUAACAAACUUGUUGAAAUGGUAAGACUAUGGUCUUUGCAAUUACUAAAAAUAUACAGGUGUAUUUGAUAAAGUAUACAUAUUGAAUUUUACUAAGAUAGACACAGAAUUGUGACUAUAUGCUUAUUUAUUUUCAUCAAAUCGUCUCGAUCUAAAUUGUAUCUGUGUAGUAUAUCUUUUGUAGUAUACAGAUCAAUAGUUUUAGUUUAGUUUUUAAACACUGUUUCACAUGCUGUAAUAUUCAUGCAAUUUAAGAAAAACACUACGAUAGUAGAUAUAAACGUAUAUCGAAAAUUUCUACCAACCGGACCAAGCAGAUGUUUCCGUAUACUGUUGAUUGAAACAUAUAUAUAUGUAGAGUACGAAAUAUUUACGUAUCAAUAUCUUCGACAUUUUUAAUAACAUGUAUAACAGUGGAUAAAUGUUAUUCUUUCCAUUAUGUACUUUGACAUCACUGGAGAUUAUGUGAAUAAUACAUAUUCUUUUUACAAUAUCAACUUUUAUACAAAAAUUCAAUGAGACAUUCGUAAUAAAAUGACAGAAAUUUAAUCACUAUGUAACAGUCGGUAUAUACAUAUGUACUUCUGUAAAAUGAUAGUAAACAUUGGUAUUUAAAAACAUGCGUUCUAGUUCAUCGGCAUUAAGUUGAAAACUGUAUAAAUUUGUUACUAAUUUCAUGUCUAAUAUCUUAAAAUGAUUUAAUACUGUCGAAGAAAACCUUGUUACAGUGUGUCACGAAAGUAAUAAAUGAAAUCUGAAAACUAAUAAACUUACCUAUAGGAUAUAGACGCGAUCUUUUCUUAAAUAAUGCACCACGAUGAGAAAAUCGGAGAUAAAGAUAUAA
This is a long non-coding RNA of Bombus terrestris (buff-tailed bumblebee), 2918 nucleotides long. RefSeq lists it as uncharacterized. NCBI's taxonomy places the organism in Eukaryota, Metazoa, Arthropoda, Insecta, Hymenoptera, Apidae. The transcript is spliced from 2 exons. The record is from RefSeq and is a predicted model, not a curated record.